GUCUCAGUAGCAUAGUGGUUAGUGCACAGCCCCUGAAGGGUUGAGACGCGGGUUCGAAUCCGGCCUGAGAUG
This is a non-coding RNA of Nippostrongylus brasiliensis, 72 nucleotides long. NCBI's taxonomy places the organism in Eukaryota, Metazoa, Nematoda, Chromadorea, Rhabditida, Heligmosomidae. The record is from Rfam.